This 324-nucleotide ribosomal RNA is filed under the name uncultured bacterium. Its description in RNAcentral is "bacterial SSU rRNA". It matches the Rfam family "Bacterial small subunit ribosomal RNA", at positions 18 to 344 of the family's 1533-position model. The record is from RNAcentral.
CAUGGCUCAGGUUGAACGCUGGCGGCAUGCCUAACACAUGCAAGUCGAGCGGAUGAGAAGAGCUUGCUCUUCGAUUAAGCGGCGGACGGGUGAGUAAUGCCUAGGAAUCUGACUGGGAUUGGGGGACAACGUUUCGAAAGGAACGCUAAUACCGCAUACGUCCUACGGGAGAAAGCAGGGGACCGUCGGGCCUUGCGCUAUCAGAUGAGCCUAGGUCGGAUUAGCUAGUUGGUGAGGUAAUGGCUCACCAAGGCGACGAUCCGUAACUGGUCUGAGAGGAUGAUCAGUCACACUGGAACUGAGACACGGUCCAGACUCCUACGG